This 385-nucleotide ribosomal RNA is filed under the name uncultured bacterium. RNAcentral describes it as "bacterial SSU rRNA". It matches the Rfam family "Bacterial small subunit ribosomal RNA", at positions 28 to 407 of the family's 1533-position model. The record is from RNAcentral.
GACGAACGCUGGCGGCGUGCUUAACACAUGCAAGUCGAACGAGAUCCAUUCAGUAGCAAUACUGAUGAAGAUCUAGUGGCGAACGGGUGCGUAACACGUGAGGAACUUGUCCCGGUCUCUGGGAUAACAGUUGGAAACGACUGCUAAUACCGGAUGACGUCGGAACUUCGCAUGGAGUACUGACGAAAGGGUUACUGGAUCGGGAGAGCCUCGCGGCCUAUCAGCUGUUGGUGGGGUAAUGGCCUACCAAGGCAUCGACGGGUAGCUGGUCUGAGAGGAUGAUCAGCCACACUGGGACUGAGACACGGCCCAGACUCCUACGGGAGGCAGCAGUGGGGAAUCUUGCACAAUGGGCGAAAGCCUGAUGCAGCAACGCGCGUGCGGG